UACGUAGGGGCCUAGCGUUGUCCGGAAUUAUUGGGCGUAAAGAGCUCGUAGGCGGUUCGGCAAGUCGGAUGUGAAAUCUCCACGCUUAACGUGGAGGGGCCAUUCGAAACUGCUGUGACUCGAGUCCGGUAGGGGAGUGUGGAAUUCCCGGUGUAGCGGUGAAAUGCGCAGAUAUCAGGAGGAACACCGGUGGCGAAGGCGGUUCUCUGGGCAUGUCCUGACGCUGAGGAGCGAAAGUGUGGGGAGCGAACAGG
Molecule: ribosomal RNA, 254 nt
Filed under: uncultured bacterium
Lineage: Bacteria
Description: partial 16S ribosomal RNA
Rfam family: Bacterial small subunit ribosomal RNA
Source: RNAcentral